RNAcentral lists this ribosomal RNA (1351 nucleotides) under uncultured bacterium. RNAcentral describes it as "bacterial SSU rRNA". It matches the Rfam family "Bacterial small subunit ribosomal RNA", at positions 27 to 1381 of the family's 1533-position model. The record is from RNAcentral.
GGAUGAACGUUGGCGGUGUGCCUAAUACAUGCAAGUCGAACGAAGAGAGUAGCAAUACAAUCUUAGUGGCGAACGGGUGAGUAACGCGUUGGUGAUCUGCCUCGAAGUGUGGAAUAACCUCCCGAAAGGGAAGCUAAUACCGCAUGGUCUCUCAGGGUUUAGAAAUCUGAGAGUAAAGGAUUUAUUCGCUUCGAGAGGAGCCUGCGUCCCAUCAGCUCGUUGGUAGGGUAACGGCCUACCAAGGCUAUGACGGGUAGGGGACCUGAGAGGGUGGCCCCCCACAAUGGAACUGAGACACGGACCAGACUCCUACGGGAGGCAGCAGUGAGGAAUAUUGGUCAAUGGGCGCAAGCCUGAACCAGCCAUCCCGCGUGCAGGAAGACGGCCCUAUGGGUUGUAAACUGCUUUUCCAGGGAGAGAAACUUACGCACGUGUUGCGUGACUGACGGUACCCUGGGAAUAAGCAUCGGCUAACUCCGUGCCAGCAGCCGCGGUAAUACGGAGGAUGCAAGCGUUAUCCGGAUUCAUUGGGUUUAAAGGGUGCGUAGGCGGGCUAUUAAGUCAGUGGUGAAAUCCUGCAGCUUAACUGCAGAACUGCCGUUGAUACUGAUAGUCUUGAGUUUGGUUAAGGUAGGCGGAAUGUGUAAUGUAGCGGUGAAAUGCUUAGAUAUUACACAGAACACCAAUUGCGUAGGCAGCUUACUGAGCCGACACUGACGCUGAGGCACGAAAGCGUGGGGAUCAAACAGGAUUAGAUACCCUGGUAGUCCACGCCGUAAACGAUGAUUACUCGCUGUUGGCGAUACACUGUCAGCGGCUAAGCAAAAGCAAUAAGUAAUCCACAUGGGGAGUACGGCCGCAAGGUUGAAACUCAAAGGAAUUGACGGGGGCCCGCACAAGCGGAGGAACAUGUGGUUUAAUUCGAUGAUACGCGAGGAACCUUACCUGGGCUUAAAUGUAGAGUGCAUUUUCUAGAGAUAGAAAUUCCCUUCGGGGCUUUCUGCAAGGUGCUGCAUGGUUGUCGUCAGCUCGUGCCGUGAGGUGUCGGGUUAAGUCCCAUAACGAGCGCAACCCUUAUCGUUAGUUGCCAGCUGGUAAAGCAGGGGACUCUAGCGAAACUGCCACCGUAAGGUGAGAGGAAGGUGGGGAUGACGUCAAAUCAGCACGGCCCUUAUGUCCAGGGCUACACACGUGUUACAAUGGCCGGUACAGAGGGCUGCCACCUGGUGACAGGAUGCUAAUCUCGAAAACCGGUCUCAGUUCGGAUCGAAGUCUGCAACUCGACUUCGUGAAGCCGGAUUCGCUAGUAAUCGCGCAUCAGCAACGGCGCGGUGAAUACGUUCCCGGGCCU